CUACGGGAGGCAGCAGUCGAGGAUCUUCGGCAAUGGGCGCAAGCCUGACCGAGCGACGCCGCGUGUGCGAUGAAGGCCUUCGGGUUGUAAAGCACUGUCGAGGGGGAGGAAGCCGCAAGGUUGACCUAUCCCUGGAGGAAGCACGGGCUAAGUUCGUGCCAGCAGCCGCGGUAAGACGAACCGUGCGAACGUUGUUCGGAAUCACUGGGCUUAAAGGGCGCGUAGGCGGGUUCACAAGUCUGUGGUGAAAUCCUCCAGCUUAACUGGAGAAGUGCCGUGGAUACUGUGAGUCUCGAGGAGGGUAGGGGCAUCUGGAACUGCCGGUGGAGCGGUGAAAUGCGUUGAUAUCGGCAGGAACUCCGGUGGCGAAGGCGAGAUGCUGGAUCCUUUCUGACGCUGAGGCGCGAAAGCCAGGGGAGCAAACGGGAUUAGAAACCCGAGUAGUCC
Molecule: ribosomal RNA, 447 nt
Filed under: uncultured bacterium
Lineage: Bacteria
Description: bacterial SSU rRNA
Rfam family: Bacterial small subunit ribosomal RNA
Source: RNAcentral